UACAGAGGGUGCAAGCGUUGUUCGGAAUUACUGGGCGUAAAGCGCGUGUAGGUGGCGAUGUAAGUCGGGUGUGAAAUCCCUCGGCUCAACCGAGGAAGUGCACUCGAUACUGUGUCGCUUGAGUGUUGGAGGGGAUGGCGGAAUUCCCGGUGUAGAGGUGAAAUUCGUAGAUAUCGGGAGGAACACCAGUGGCGAAGGCGGCGAUCUGGGAAGAUACUGACGCUGAGGUGCGAAAGCGUGGGGAGCAAACAGG
RNAcentral lists this ribosomal RNA (253 nucleotides) under uncultured bacterium. RNAcentral's name for it is "partial 16S ribosomal RNA". It matches the Rfam family "Bacterial small subunit ribosomal RNA", at positions 524 to 776 of the family's 1533-position model. The record is from RNAcentral.